UGGGGAAUCUUGGACAAUGGGGGCAACCCUGAUCCAGCCAUGCCGCGUGAGUGAUGAAGGCCUUAGGGUCGUAAAGCUCUUUCGCCUGUGAAGAUAAUGACGGUAGCAGGUAAAGAAACCCCGGCUAACUCCGUGCCAGCAGCCGCGGUAAUACGGAGGGGGUUAGCGUUGUUCGGAAUUACUGGGCGUAAAGCGCACGUAGGCGGACCAGAAAGUUGGGGGUGAAAUCCCGGGGGCUCAACCCCGGAACUGCCUCCAAAACUAUUGGUCUAGAGUUCGAGAGAGGUGAGUGGAAUUCCAAGUGUAGAGGUGAAAUUCGUAGAUAUUUGGAGGAACACCAGUGGCGAAGGCGGCUCACUGGCUCGAUACUGACGCUGAGGUGCGAAAGUGUGGGGAGCAAACAGGAUUAGAUACCCUGGUAGUCCACACCGUAAAACGAUGGAUGCUAGCCGUUGGGCAGUUUACUGUUCAGUGGCGCAGCUAACGCAUUAAGCAUCCGCCUGGGGAGUACGGUCGCAAGAUUAAAACUC
RNAcentral lists this ribosomal RNA (530 nucleotides) under uncultured bacterium. RNAcentral's name for it is "bacterial SSU rRNA". It matches the Rfam family "Bacterial small subunit ribosomal RNA", at positions 355 to 902 of the family's 1533-position model. The record is from RNAcentral.